Long non-coding RNA from Lagopus leucura (white-tailed ptarmigan), 1434 nucleotides. RefSeq lists it as uncharacterized. The record is from RefSeq and is a predicted model, not a curated record. The transcript is spliced from 6 exons. NCBI's taxonomy places the organism in Eukaryota, Metazoa, Chordata, Aves, Galliformes, Phasianidae.
CGACUUCCUUGUCUACCUGCCUGCUGCCCAAGGCCGGCCACGCUGCUGCUCCCCGUCUUCUGCUGCGUUCUGCCUGGGACCUUCGAACACCGUGCAACGGGACCGCUGCUGGAUCCUGCUGCUUUGAUUGUAGGACUCAGUAACCUUCCCAGAUACAACAAAUGCACAGCACAAAAUGAACUGAAGAAGGUGCUUUUUUCACAAUCUUGGAAGAGUACUUAGAUCAUUAUAACACCAUAUGUUUGAGGAAAUAAGGAUUCCUUCAAUCUUAGAACAGAGUAAUGCUCCUGUCACAUCCUGCUUGUAAGGGGAGAGAAGGGAUGACCAGCUCCAGCAUUCUAUAUCUUUGCACGUGAUGACUUGCAAUUGAAAUCAUUCUGUACUAUGCAUGCAUCACCUAGAAUUGCAAUAAGUUUUUAAGACACCAUUGAAAUAGUAGGAGGAUGAUUCUCAUUUAAACUACGUGGAUUAGGAGCUGCUGAUUCAAAUAAUGACUUAUUCCAAUGUCUGAUGGCACUGAUUUGAUUAAAACCCUCUGCUUUGUGGAGAGACAAGGAGUAUACGCGAUAUUUGACAAUUAUGAGUACAGACUAAUGAAGUUUCAGAUGCUGAGUAAAAUUCGCGAUUUCUUGGAGGUAUCUUUCAUGUUAGGCAGUUCAGUGGAAAUCACUGUUAAAAGGCUGAGAUUCAGACAUCCCCCAUCCAACUGCCACAGUCUCAAUAAAAGGGAAGGGGAAGGAAAUGCUUGCUUUGCAUCCAUCUGCAGCAAUCCCAUGUUGGCUUUCACGUUUCCAUUGGAUCAAAAUUAGGAUUUCGUAAGAACAAUAUUGAAAACAAAGCAUACUAGCUUCUUGACUGCAAUAGACUAGUUUCCUGAAAGAAAGCAAGCAAGAAAGAAAGAAGGAAGGAAAAGAAGCAAGCAAGAAAGCAAGCAAGCUAGUCCCAACUUACACCUUGAAGUCCAAUGGCUUGUAAUGUGAAAUACAGAUUGUACUAAGAAUCUCAGUUGCAUUUGCUAUUUACCAUAUCAGCUAAUUUUUAGACAAAUUCGCUUAUAACCAGGAUUAUUGGUUCACUAUGCAAUAAUUUGAGAUUUUUCCCAAUUUGGACUCAGACCAGCAACUAUUUCUUCCGUUAAGGUGUUCCACUCUUUCAUAGAAUCAUAGAAUAAUAGAAUCAUAGAAUGGCCUGAGUUGAAAAGGACCACAAUUAUCACCUAGUUUCAAACCCCAUGCCAUGAGCAGUGUCACCAACCACUAGACCAGGCUGCCCAGAGCCACAUCUAGCCUGGCCUUGAAUGCUUCCAGGGAUGGGGCAUCCGCAACCUCUCUAGGCAACCUGUUCCGGUGUGUCACCACUUCUGGGUGAAAAAAAUCCUCCUAAUAUCUAAACAUCCCCUGUCUCAGUUUAAGACCUUUCUCCCUAGUCCUAUCA